Molecule: long non-coding RNA, 632 nt
Organism: Pogona vitticeps (central bearded dragon)
Lineage: Eukaryota; Metazoa; Chordata; Lepidosauria; Squamata; Agamidae
Source: RefSeq, a predicted model, not a curated record
AACCCAUUACAAAAAAACUUGCCAUCCAUGGUGUUGGCUCAGUUGCCCUUGGGCUCUCCAGGGAUUGCAGCCUCUCUGAGGUUUGCCCAAUCCCAUGUAGGUAAUGUUCACUGAGUUCAAUGAACCUUAUAGCAAGGUUCAUUGUCCUUGAGCGGGAAUCCAACUUUCGUCAGCCGAGAAGUCAUGGUCUGAGACACAAAAGUGCAGUGACUUGAUAGAAACGAGAACCAACUGAUGAACAAGACUGGAUUAACUCAACCUCUUCCCUUUGUGAUCAUGUCUCAGAACAGGCACAAUCAAUUGGAACAGGCACCAUCAAAAGGAUGCCCAUGCUUUUUAGGUCCAAGCUCCAAGUCAGACAGAAGUGGAGGAACGAAGCCAUGGCUCUGGGCUACAGCCACACUUAGCUUAGAGCCGGGCAGCUUCUUGUGUUUCUUCUGUGAAGAGGACAUGGAGAAGACCCUGUCUGGAGAGAAAGCAAGAACUUGGUGUCAUACUUCACUGGGAGGCCGAGCAAAUGUCAAAGAGAACCUUUAAAUCACAUAUUUUGGCAGGAUUGGUGUCCAAGACAAGAGAGACUGGUGGUGAGAUAAAUCACAGUGCACAACAACAGGCUUAUAUACUGCCCCAUA